UCAAAAUAAUUACAAGUAAUAGUUUAAUAGAGUUUUGAAUGUAACUUAAAAGUUAAAACUUUAAAAUAUAUUUAUGAACUUAUGAAUUUUUGCUGAUUCAUAGCAAGAGGAGAAAUAGGUUAGACCAUCAACGCUUGAAUGAUUUGGUAUACAUUAAGUAUAAUCGAGCCUUGAAGAGAAGAUACAAUGAACGUAACACCAUUGACCCAAUUUCUUUGAAAGAUAUAGAUGAUAGCAAUGCAUAGUUGAUAGGAAGAAUGAAAAAUGAGGAUUCUCAUGGAGGUGCACAAGAAGAUUUUGUAUUUCAUGAUGAUAAUUUGACAUAGGGUGAUGUUGCUAAAGCUACUGGAGCUGAGGAGGCCAGGUUUGAUACUAGAGCUAGAGCUAGAGCUAGAGCUAGAGCAAGCUCAAGCAUAAUACCACCAACGAGGGGAAUAGCUUCAGGUUCUAGAACUUUGCCUUCUCAUUCACUAAUAGAUGAAGAUGGAGACAUGGUUGAUUCAGCCGAUGAAGAAGAUGGGGAAGGCUACGAAUGUGGUGAUGGAAAUGAUGAUGAUUUUGUUGAUUUAGAGGAGGAGUGAUGAUUGCUUGUUGUGGACAAAUUUGUUAUUUAAGUGUUUUUUAAUGAUGUUUUUGAAUUGUGGACAAAUUUCAUGUUUUAGACCUUUUGGUUUGGAAACUUUGGAUUUUGAUAUGUAUUAGGCUAUUAGCAAUAUGGAUUUGGAUUUGUUUUUAUACUUGGAGUUCUUUAUUUUUAUGUUUUUUGUUGAUUAAAUUGAAGUUUUGGAUGAUAUUUGAUAAUUUAUGUGUUUAGGACAAAUAAAUGAUUGUUAAGUUUGAUUAUAUUAUAUAAAAAUAUAUAUGUAAAUUAGGGUGCGCCUUGCACCUUAGGCUUCAGGACUACUUUGCGCCUUGAGCCUUUUAUAACUAUGAUGGGGAGAGACUCCCCAAAAAGCCCAAUCGGGCCUUAUUAAAAGUAGGCCCAAAAGGCCCCAUAGAACUGACGCCCAUGUCUGCCUCCAUUGGGUUGGCUGGAAUUGGGCCUUUGGCCCAUUCCUCUCCACCACUUAUAUCCAAAACACCACUAUCUUUGUGAGCCUCCCGACUUGCUGUCCUAGGCCCAGGCCCACUCACGGAAGAGUCUAGAACACCUGCACUAGCCAGUCUACCCCCUGCCCCUGCUGCAACCCUAUGCCUUCUGCCACACUCAACCUGCGCAUCUGCCCCCCGAUAUUGAUUUCCAAUUUGAACAUCCCCCACGCUACUGCCAGCGCAUGCCUCACCCCACCUUCAUCCCUGACCUCCCAUCCCUCAAAUUUAUGCCAAACAGACCUUGGCACUACCUAAGAAACCCAAGGGGGGGUUUCCCACCACAGACUAACCGCCUAGUAGAAAUUCCCGGCUACUACCUGCAACGAACCAGGCAUAAUCUUCCCAGAGGCUUUCACCAAAAUACGAGCCCACUACAACUGUUAAAAGAAAAUUGUUUCCUCAUCAACAACUAUGAAACCCCCACAACUCUCUCCAAUACUCUUGAACACCUCUCUACUCCAAAGGUGAAGAGGAAGCCCUACAACCUCCACCCAAACUUCCUUGGCUUGUCUCCCAUUCCACAAGCACCCCACUUCAGGUCCCCAUUUCUACAGUAGAAACUCCCUAUCCUUAAUACGUCUGCUGCCCUUUAAAAGCACCGAAUCAGCUUCACAUUUAUUUUCAAAUUCAAACAGCACAAGGGCCACACCUAACUUGGAAAUAUUUAAAUCUCCCUUGAGAGACCAUGUUUCAAACGCCCACUCCUUCAUGGCAACCAAAGGAGGAACGGACUCAAAACUUUCCCCAAAGCAGCCAACCAGGCAACGACUUAACUGCUCUUCCCUACGAGACAAGUCACGGUCCCCUACAUGCACCCAUAAAGAAUCCUUUGUUUCCUCUGUCUUCACUCUCGCAACUUCUACAUGCACUCCUUUCCCUUUCUCUUUCUCUUUGAAACUAUAGCCAUCCUUUUCAGAUAUGGAAGUACCCAAAUCACCUUUGCUCAAAGUUGGAGUGGCAACUCCAAGGGCCCUCAACUUCUAAGCCAAUAGAAACCAUCCCCUUACUAAGCCUUUUCCUUCCGGAAAAACAAUGCAAAACCUUUUAGCUUCCAAAUCUCUCAUUGAACAAAGUAAAAACCUCCCAACUACAUUUGAACGACACUCAAGCCUAAACUUUCUUCCUCCUUCCCAAACUUUUAGACACCUCGAGCUUGACUCUCCUCUACACCAAGCUUCCACAACUUCCAACAGCAAGCUUAAGCUCUUUUCUCCAAAUCUUAUCCAAGAGGAGAAGCCUUUACUCCUUUCCAAAAUAAUCCCUUUCUUUUUACCUCAGACCUCUUCAAUGGAGAUUUCGAACGUCUUGGAUUCAACAGCAAACCAACACUUACCACCUUUCGAGACUCCUCUCCCCUCCGAGAGAGCAGCCAUCUCCUCUUUGCCACAAUAUACUUUAUCAAAUAACCAAACAAGAAUCACCCUACGUAAUACAGGAGAAACUGGGAACCUUCAGCCAUAGUUAUUAAUGUUUGGAGAUAUAUAAUUAGUUUGAAAAUUCUCAUUCCUACAAUAGUAAACGUCAUUUCUGUAAUGUACCCUAGGCUCUCUGAUUCCUUUAAAAUGCAUGUUAGCGCAUUAUCUUGCACCCACCAAUCUCAAGUUUCACUUGAAAGCUUGAGGCCAGAUUUUAUGACAAAGAGCAUUUGUCAUAAGUUGAUUUAUGUGUAAUCUUCUCUAAGAUGCAAUGAAACCUAAGCCUGUCCUGGUGCAGUUAAAAAAAAUUGUUUCUAUUUCAUGGGUUUGGGUGUGGGUGUCAGAUAUAGAUGUGUCUAGGUGUCUAAUCUUUUUUACCUACAAAGUUUAGGAUAUAGAGAUUUGGCUAAAAAGGAUCUCAAUAACGGAUAUGGACAGUUUAAUAUGACAUAAUAAAAAGAAAAACAAAAGUAGAAAUUGAUUAAAAAACAAUGAUGCCUUUGUAAGAAUUCUUUCUUAUUUUAUCUCUAUUUUUUUUAUUAUUCCUAAAUAUUUUUGUGAAAGUUCACUUCUAACAAACUGUUUUUCUUCAAUGUGAUUAUCUGCUGAGGAAGUUGAAAAAAAAAAAAAAAAAAACAA
This is a long non-coding RNA of Vitis vinifera (wine grape), 3146 nucleotides long. RefSeq lists it as uncharacterized. The record is from RefSeq and is a predicted model, not a curated record. The transcript has 2 exons. NCBI's taxonomy places the organism in Eukaryota, Viridiplantae, Streptophyta, Magnoliopsida, Vitales, Vitaceae.